Non-coding RNA from Podarcis lilfordi (Lilford's wall lizard), 76 nucleotides. Lineage: Eukaryota; Metazoa; Chordata; Lepidosauria; Squamata; Lacertidae. The record is from the annotation of a GenBank genome assembly.
GCCCUCCUGUGGCGCAAUGGGUCAGUUCGGCUGGCUAUCAACCUGAAGGCUGGUGGUUCUAGCCCACCCGGGGAUG